UCCGUCUUGGCGACGGCAGUCCCAUUAGAGUGCUCAGCUUUACCUGGUGGCAACUAAUGGCAAGGGUUGCGCUCGUUGCGGGACUUAACCCAACAUCUCGCGACACGAGCUGACGACAGCCAUGCAGCAUCUGUGACCCACCCUCGAAGGCGACCCGCUUUCACGGGCUUGCAGGGUCAUGUCAAACCUGGGUAAGGUUCUGCGCGUUGCGUCGAAUUAAACCACACGCUCCGCUGCUUGUGCGGGCCCCAGUCAAUUCCUUUGAGUUUUAAGCUUGCGCUCGUAGUUCCCAGGCGGGCCACUUCCCGCGUUAGCUAAGGCCCCCAGCGACGGAGAUUCCGCCACCAAAGGCCGAGUGGCCAUCGUUUACGGCGUGGACUAC
RNAcentral lists this unclassified non-coding RNA (382 nucleotides) under uncultured bacterium. RNAcentral's name for it is "contains 16S-23S intergenic spacer region". The record is from RNAcentral.